AUAGCUAAAACUCACCAAGUAGGUUGAAAUCACUGGUAAAUAUGGGAUUGCUAUGGUGCCUCCCUCUGGAAAACACUGAAGAAAACUGAAAUCAGCCAUCCUGCCAAGUACACUUGCUCCUUCUGUGGCUAAACCAAGAUGAAGAAACAAGCAGUUAGGGAUCUUACACUGUGGUUCCUACAUGAAAACAGUAGCUGAUGGUGCCUGGAUCUACAAUGCCACUUCCACCAACAUGGCAAAGAUGGCCAUCAGAAGACUGAAGAAAUUGAAAGGCCAGUAG
RNAcentral lists this long non-coding RNA (280 nucleotides) under Homo sapiens (human). Its description in RNAcentral is "non-protein coding lnc-GPR22-2:1". Lineage: Eukaryota; Metazoa; Chordata; Mammalia; Primates; Hominidae. The record is from RNAcentral.